RNAcentral lists this microRNA precursor (203 nucleotides) under Oryza brachyantha (malo sina). RNAcentral's name for it is "MIR812 microRNA precursor family". It matches the Rfam family "MIR812 microRNA precursor family". Lineage: Eukaryota; Viridiplantae; Streptophyta; Magnoliopsida; Poales; Poaceae. The record is from Rfam by way of RNAcentral.
AAUAAACGAAUUUAUGAGUUUUUGGAUAGAAUUUUUGACUAUACGUCUUAUUUGAAUUUUUAAAGAUUAAUAUUUUUAUUGUUAUUAUAUGAUAAAACAUAAGUAGUACUUUACGUGUAAAUAUUUUUUUUUCAUUUUUUUCAUAAAUUUUUCAAAUAAAAUGAAUGGUCAAACGCUCAACCUACCUCAGAAAUGCUUUUUUU